Molecule: non-coding RNA, 71 nt
Organism: Odocoileus virginianus texanus
Lineage: Eukaryota; Metazoa; Chordata; Mammalia; Artiodactyla; Cervidae
Source: the annotation of a RefSeq genome assembly
UCCUGGGUGGCUCAGUGGAAAAGAAUCUGCCCGCAAUGCAGGAGACCCAGGUUCGAUCCCUGGCUUGGGAA